GACGAACGCUGGCGGCGUGCUUAACACAUGCAAGUCGAACGGAAAGGCCCUGCUUUUGUGGGGUGCUCGAGUGGCGAACGGGUGAGUAACACGUGAGUAACCUGCCCUUGACUUUGGGAUAACUUCAGGAAACUGGGGCUAAUACCGGAUAGGAGCUCCUGCUGCAUGGUGGGGGUUGGAAAGUUUCGGCGGUUGGGGAUGGACUCGCGGCUUAUCAGCUUGUUGGUGGGGUAGUGGCUUACCAAGGCUUUGACGGGUAGCCGGCCUGAGAGGGUGACCGGCGACAUGUGGACUGCACGAGGGACUAGAGUCGGGGGGGAGGCAGGGGUUGGUAGUGGUGGGCGGUGGGGGGAAGCAUGAUGCGGCGGCGGAGUGUGGGGGGUGGCGGGCUUGGGGGUGACUUCCGCCUGCGGAUGUGAAGAGGCGUGGGUGGAGGUAGGGGGUAAAGGAGCGCCGGAGAAGCACGGACCAGCGGCCGGGGGAAUAGUCGGAGGGGCAGACGGAGGAAC
This 509-nucleotide ribosomal RNA is filed under the name uncultured bacterium. RNAcentral's name for it is "partial 16S ribosomal RNA". The stretch from base 20 to 332 matches the Rfam family "Bacterial small subunit ribosomal RNA", at positions 47 to 358 of the family's 1533-position model. The record is from RNAcentral.